GAGCCCCAGCACAAAAAAAUCCUGCGCUGUCCGCUGCGGCCAGCCGCGCUCCCUUGCGCACCCCAUCCCGAACCCGAGUCCCGCCGGGCCCAGGGAGCCCCGCCUCUGAGCGCAGCCCCAGACGGAGCUGGGCACUUGCCCGCCGGCCUCGUGCCACCCCGCGAGCGCCCGGCACCCCGCUCCAUCCACUCCUUACCCAGCACGGUCAGCUUGGAACCGGCCCCGAAGUACAGCUGCCCCGUGUUGGCACAGCUCAGGGGGCCCAGGCGCAAACCCGCCUUCCCCGACCAGGCGCCCGCUCCUUGCGGGCCAGGGUCCUGGGAUGCUGCGGGCUGGGCAACCCCUUCCGCGGUCGCACCCAGGAGCGCCUUUCUUACCUAGGACGAGUCCAAGCUCCUUCCCCUUCGUGUAUUCCACAAGCUCCAUGAACAUCUGCUGUGCGCCAGGCCUCCUGCCGGGGAGUCCACCUUCGGAGGAGCAUGUACCAGCUCUGCCCAAUGCCUCAAGCCUCCUACCUCUGAGCCGUGGCCCCGGCUAAGCACCCAGGAGUACCCGACCCUGUUGUUCGGCUCUGGCUCACGCCUCUGACUGUCACCACCACCCUCUCCCAUGGAUAAUUGUACCAACUCUUGCUUUGAAGAGUUUGCCAACUUCUCAGACUCUUCCCGGAGGAUCCCAGUUGGAAAUCGAGUGCUAGCCUCUGACUGCAUUGGAGUUGACAGCUGGCAGUGCUAUGUGAAAGGGCCACUUUGCAUUUCAACUUUCUAUUGAAUUUCUAUUUGUGUUUCAAAAUUUCUAUUCAUGAACGACCCCCUCGUGAACGGGCAGGCUCCUUGGGGACUAUGACUUGGAUGUCUUUAUUUUCUUGAAGGUUAAUGGCAGAGCACUGCAAUGGUGUGUGCUUGAUGAGUGUGGUAGUGCCCAUGUGCAAGUAUGUAAAUACGUAUAUACACACACGUGUGUGUGUGUUGUACAAGUGAGCACACACAUCUGAAUGCCUCGUGUGUGGCGAUGGAGAGAGGAGGCCACGUGCUACAGUCACGCGAGUGAGGGAGUAGAUGGCUGGUUCAGGCAGGCCUGGUGGCGAUAUCUGCU
RNAcentral lists this long non-coding RNA (1095 nucleotides) under Vulpes vulpes (red fox). RNAcentral's name for it is "lncRNA (ENSVVUG00000003350.1)". The record is from RNAcentral. Lineage: Eukaryota; Metazoa; Chordata; Mammalia; Carnivora; Canidae.